Molecule: long non-coding RNA, 952 nt
Organism: Helianthus annuus (common sunflower)
Lineage: Eukaryota; Viridiplantae; Streptophyta; Magnoliopsida; Asterales; Asteraceae
Exons: 6
Source: RefSeq, a predicted model, not a curated record
AUUCGACGUGCCCUCCACUAUCACCCACUAAAUUUUUGAACUUUUGGCACUUCCCACUAAACAAUUCUACCCCUUGUGUACGUAUCUCCAUCUUUGAAGAACAUGAAGUCAUGAACGUCUGAACUCUCUGAAGAUGAAGACUGAACAUCAUCAUCGACGCCCCAAUUUCCACCGUCUCCGCCGUCUCUGUCGUCCCCUCCGCCACAAACCCCCUCAACCCUCUGUCAUAUGUAACGACCGAUUGAUUAUCAACUGCUCAUACAACAACAAAAUUGAUUAUCAUUGUCUAGGGUUUUCAUUCUUCGAUCGCCAAUUAUUGCAACUGUUAAUUCGUUGCGGUUUUUACAUUCACCGAGCUGACCGGCGCAGUCCUCAUUUCUUAUAUAAUGUUCUUGUAUGAGGAAGUUAAGAAAGAGUAAAUACAAGAUCAUGGAAUAUGUUUUAUGAACCAGCCUACAAUUUCGCGGGCUGAUCAACGCAAAACCAAAUCAAACACAUCGAGGAUGCAAGUAGAGAGGUUGCAGAUCGAUUGUAUAAAAGAAAGAGCAAUGACAUCAUCCUAUUACCCUACAAUCUCGGGCCAAUGGUCGUGUAUGCUUCACGAAGUGGUGUCAACAUAAGGGUUAAACUCAUCUGGAUUAACGCUAGGUGUCCACGUCAGCCAGGAGUACUGAAUGCGGCUCCUAUGUAAUGAAGUUCAUGAAGGAGAUAACUUAUAAAGGAGUUGAAAUACUUGACAAUGAUAAUAUAGGUUGGGAAAGGAGUAGAGGAAUUCUCAGCUGUGGAUAUGGAUGACAUUCGCGAAGAUUGGUCGACUUAUGCGGUUACCUCUGUUUUUAAGUGACAAAUAGUAUUUUAGGUGUUGAUGAUGUAUUGACAAACAAUUCUUAUUUUUUUGUUAACGUAAAAAUAUUUGUAGUAUACUUGACAAAUGAUUAUGUAAUAGAUAGUU